GAUUGAACGCUGGCGGCAUGCCUUACACAUGCAAGUCGAACGGCAGCACGGAGCUUGCUCUGGUGGCGAGUGGCGAACGGGUGAGUAGUAUAUCGGAACGUACCCUGGAGUGGGGGAUAACGUAGCGAAAGUUACGCUAAUACCGCAUACGAUCUAAGGAUGAAAGUGGGGGAUCGCAAGACCUCAUGCUCGUGGAGCGGCCGAUAUCUGAUUAGCUAGUUGGUAGGGUAAAAGCCUACCAAGGCAUCGAUCAGUAGCUGGUCUGAGAGGACGACCAGCCACACUGGAACUGAGACACGGUCCAGACUCCUACGGGAGGCAGCAGUGGGGAAUUUUGGACAAUGGGCGAAAGCCUGAUCCAGCAAUGCCGCGUGAGUGAAGAAGGCCUUCGGGUUGUAAAGCUCUUUUGUCAGGGAAGAAACGGUGAGAGCUAAUAUCUCUUGCUAAUGACGGUACCUGAAGAAUAAGCACCGGCUAACUACGUGCCAGCAGCCGCGGUAAUACGUAGGGUGCAAGCGUUAAUCGGAAUUACUGGCGUAAAGCGUGCGCAGGCGGUUUUGUAAGUCUGAUGUGAAAUCCCCGGGCUCAACCUGGGAAUUGCAUUGGAGACUGCAAGGCUAGAAUCUGGCAGAGGGGGGUAGAAUUCCACGUGUAGCAGUGAAAUGCGUAGAUAUGUGGAGGAACACCGAUGGCGAAGGCAGCCCCCUGGGUCAAGAUUGACGCUCAUGCACGAAAGCGUGGGGAGCAAACAGGAUUAGAUACCCUGGUAGUCCACGCCCUAAACGAUGUCUACUAGUUGUCGGGUCUUAAUUGACUUGGUAACGCAGCUAACGCGUGAAGUAGACCGCCUGGGGAGUACGGUCGCAAGAUUAAAACUCAAAGGAAUUGACGGGGACCCGCACAAGCGGUGGAUGAUGUGGAUUAAUUCGAUGCAACGCGAAAAACCUUACCUACCCUUGACAUGGCUGGAAUCCCCGAGAGAUUGGGGAGUGCUCGAAAGAGAACCAGUACGCAGGUGCUGCAUGGCUGUCGUCAGCUCGUGUCGUGAGAUGUUGGGUUAAGUCCCGCAACGAGCGCAACCCUUGUCAUUAGUUGCUACGAAAGGGCACUCUAAUGAGACUGCCGGUGACAAACCGGAGGAAGGUGGGGAUGACGUCAAGUCCUCAUGGCCCUUAUGGGUAGGGCUUCACACGUCAUACAAUGGUACAUACAGAGCGCCGCCAACCCGCGAGGGGGAGCUAAUCGCAGAAAGUGUAUCGUAGUCCGGAUUGUAGUCUGCAACUCGACUGCAUGAAGUUGGAAUCGCUAGUAAUCGCGGAUCAGCAUGUCGCGGUGAAUACGUUCCCGGGUCUUG
RNAcentral lists this ribosomal RNA (1354 nucleotides) under Janthinobacterium sp. Its description in RNAcentral is "bacterial SSU rRNA". It matches the Rfam family "Bacterial small subunit ribosomal RNA", at positions 27 to 1383 of the family's 1533-position model. The record is from RNAcentral. Lineage: Bacteria; Pseudomonadati; Pseudomonadota; Betaproteobacteria; Burkholderiales; Oxalobacteraceae.